CAUUGGGACUUUCACUUCUUUGAUAUGGUUUGUCUGUGUCCCCAACCAAAUCUCCUCUUGAAUUGUAGCUCCCAUAAUUCCUAGAUGUUAUGGGAGGGACCGAGUGGGAGAUAAUUGAAUCAUGGGGGUGGUUUCCCCCAUACUGUUCUCAUGGUAGUGAAUAAGUCUCACUAGAUCUGAUGGUUUUAUAAGGGGAAACCCCUUUCACUUGGUUGUCAUUCUCUCUUGUCUGCUGCCAUGUAAGAUGUGCCUUUUGCCUUCCACCAUGAUUGUGAGGCCUCCCCAGCCACAUGGAACUGUGAGUUCAUUAAACCUCUUUUUCUUUAUAAAUUAUUCAGUCUUGGGUAUGUCUUUAUCAGCAGUGUGAAAACAGACUAAUACACUGCUAUAUCCCCCAGGGCCUGGGAAAUACUUGCACAUAGUAGGUCUACAAAUAAGUAUUUGCUGAAUGAAUGAGUACAUGUGUUCAUUUAAUAAAUUUUGUUUCAUUCUGGCAUUUGAUUUGGAGUUACUGUAUCUAUAUUCUAAAUUUUUACAUUUUUUCACAAAGUAGCUGAGUGUUAUGUUUCUAUAAGAACACCAAGAAGAUGAUCUUUAAUCUUUCUUGCUUAAUAAGGCCUCCCCAGACUCUCAGACCUGUUUCCUAAACUCAAGGAGACUGUCAGUCUCUAAGUGGAGUCUAAGGAGGCUAAAGUGGCUAACAUUGCUACAGGGCAGAGUGCCAAAGAGGAAAGGGCUACACAGACAGGGCGCACCGGAGAUAUACAGAGGGAUGCUCUCAAGUACUCAGCAGAAGGAACCACCUGAAAGGAUUAGAGGGAACACUCCCUGGAGCUUGCACAGAGCUAGAAAUCAUUCCCUUUUCCCUCACUCAUAGUAGAAACCCUCAUCAUUCACAAGGCAUGUGAUAGGGUACCAAGAAAAGUUUUUGCCUUAGUAAUGGGGCAAACUUAGACUAAAUGCUGCUCUGGUCUUGCCCAAAAAAAACUUAAAAGCAAGACCUGAAAGGAUCAAACUGUUUCAAAGUAAUUUAACUAUACUCCCAGGACAAAGCUCAAGAAUAUUUAUAGGAAUACAAAUACCCAACAUACAACAAGUUAAAAUUUAUAAAAUUUAUAGUGUCUGACAUCCAAUCUAAACCUACCAGGAAUGGAAAGAAGCAGGAAUAGUCAGCUGAUGUGAAUAUGAAUAUUAAUCAAUAUAAACUGAUCCAGAAAUGUCACAGAGUAUAGAAUUGGUAGACAAAAACAUUAAAAGUUAUUAUACCCGCAUUCCAUAUGUUCAAGCAGCUGGAAAAAAUAUUGAUCAUAUUAAGUAGAGACAUUAAAAAUAUCUACCUGAAAUCACAUUAUAAAGAGGAAAACUAUCAUUACUGAGAUGAAAAAUACACUGGAUGAGAUUAACAGCCAAUUAGACAUCACAGAAGAAAUAAUUUGUAAACCUGAAAACAUAGCAAUAAAAAUUGUGCAAAAUGAAGCAGAAAGAAAAAAA
Molecule: long non-coding RNA, 1491 nt
Filed under: Homo sapiens (human)
Lineage: Eukaryota; Metazoa; Chordata; Mammalia; Primates; Hominidae
Description: non-protein coding lnc-NPAS3-3:1
Source: RNAcentral